Molecule: non-coding RNA, 203 nt
Organism: Pelobates cultripes (western spadefoot toad)
Lineage: Eukaryota; Metazoa; Chordata; Amphibia; Anura; Pelobatidae
Source: the annotation of a GenBank genome assembly
GGAACAGUUCAUAGUUAAUAAGCAUGAUGGGAGUUGUCCUCCAUAUAAUUAGUAGCUUGAAGCAGUGAAGAUUUAAGUAAGCAAGCAUUAGUUCAUUAUCAAAUGAUAUUGUAGACAAAUAGCUGAAAGAUAUACUUAAGGUUAAUGUGAGUAGUCCUCCAAUAGUUCAGAGAUAUUGUCCACUUGUAAAGUAAGUGAGUUUC